Long non-coding RNA from Bombus impatiens (common eastern bumble bee), 561 nucleotides. RefSeq lists it as uncharacterized. NCBI's taxonomy places the organism in Eukaryota, Metazoa, Arthropoda, Insecta, Hymenoptera, Apidae. The record is from RefSeq and is a predicted model, not a curated record. The transcript has 2 exons.
UACCGCGAUUCUACCACCAAUAUACCAACAUACCGAUGACGACGAAUACCGAUACAACGUAUACAUUGGUAUCGCUUAGGCUACACCAGCAUCUCCACGCAAAUUUACAUCUUUGCCGAUGUAAAUAAAUAAAACGGAUCGACGCCUGUCGUAUCGAGCGUUGUACGCCUCUGUCCGCUGAAACGUAAUCGAAUGUUUGCAAAAUAACGGUCGGCGCGGCUCGUGCCUCGAGAUUCGCCUGAAAAGUUCGCAGGAGAAUCGAGAAACGGAAGGAUGCAAUACGCACUCUCCCUGUUAUCGACCAUAUCAAGAGUAUAGCGAGAAUCAAGGGAGAACGAACGAUGGCGAGCAACACCGAGUCCAGCCGAGGGGGCCCAUUGGAAGAGCGAUCGAGGAUUUCUGAUCGUGUUGGUUAAAAGUGGAGGAUAAAAAUUCGAAAUCGUUGUAACGAUAAGAUGAUUUCAAGAAUUCGAGUAGACCACAGACCGUUCCUUUAAAAACUAAUCGCUACGGUUUGAACCAGUUUUCGUGGAGAUUGGAUUUCUUACGCAGCGUUGCUGA